GGAGACAUUUAAAAAUAUUUAAUACAUGUUUGGUAUACAAUAUUUUGACAUUAUACAAAAGAAUAUUAUAGCUUCUCUUUUGUUUUCAAUUCUAAAUCCUCCCUACCAAAUGGUUAAUUCCAUUUAUAAACAUGUGACACGAAAAGUUCGGUUAUUUCUCAAAAUUAAAAUGAAGAAAAAUGGGUUUGGUUGAAUUCAAGUAUGAAAAUAGAGCUAUUGGCAUACCUCAACUUGUUUAUUAGCUACUGCCAAGUGUAAGAUAGUGUUUCCAUCACUAUCUUUACAAUUUGUGAAAUCUUG
RNAcentral lists this long non-coding RNA (300 nucleotides) under Olea europaea (common olive). RNAcentral describes it as "long non-coding RNA (OEUR_LNC009157)". Lineage: Eukaryota; Viridiplantae; Streptophyta; Magnoliopsida; Lamiales; Oleaceae. The record is from RNAcentral.